Molecule: non-coding RNA, 404 nt
Organism: Vigna umbellata (rice bean)
Lineage: Eukaryota; Viridiplantae; Streptophyta; Magnoliopsida; Fabales; Fabaceae
Source: RefSeq, a predicted model, not a curated record
UUCCGAUGACAAAAUUCUUAUUUCGAAAGACUUCAGAGGACCCACAUCACAAGCUAUCCUUCCCAGACAUUGUGAAGCUAUUUUUCUUGACCAUCAACAACAACAUUUACACCAUCACAUCAGAAUUAUUGGAUAGCGAACCCAAACUUGUUACUGUUGAAAACGAAGAGAGGUUGACGGCUUUGCAAAUGCUAGCUCAAUGUUCCCUUUGCGAGGAAACUAUUGGCUAUCGAGAGAUUGUAGAUUCUGUUUUUAAAGGCAUGGAAAAGCAGAAAGAUACUAUCAACCAUGCACAAUUGUCGAAAGCAAUGUUCGAUGCAGCAAAAUCAGGAAACACUAAUAUUUUAGAACUUCUGUUAAAGUACCAUCCUGAUUUGCUAUUUGAAGUGAAUUCUAGCAACCAA